GCUUCGAAUGGCCCAAGAGAGAACAAACUUUUAAAUGGGCCUUCAAUUGGGCUUGAACAAAAUGGGUGUCUACAAUUGCCCCUCUUUGUGCAUGGCUUGCAUAACAAGGAACGUACAAAGAUGUAUACACCUAACCACUAUCAAGUCCCACUCAACAUCACAGUAAAAGGAAUAACAUAUUUUUAAAUUUACCAAAAUUGAAACAGAUCAAAACAUAUUAUGUUAUCCAAAACUAGAAAAGUAGAUACCAAACCAUCAAAACAUGAAGAGUGAAACAAGAUAGACCUCACAACCAAGUCUUCAAAAUGAGAAUGUAGAAGAAAUGUAAAUAGACCUGAUACUUGUGCCUUCAUAUACAAUGCAAUGAAGAGUAAAUGGACCUCCACACCUGUGCCUUUAAAUGUAAUGAAAAAUAAAUGGACCUCCACACCUAGGCCUCUAAAUGCAAUGAAAAGUAAAUGGACCUUCAGGCCUGGGUCUCUAAAUGCAAUGAAAAGUAAAUGGACCUCCACACUUGGGCUUCUAACUGCAAUGAAAAGUGAAUGGACCUCCACACUUGGGCCUCUAAAUGCAAUGACAGUUAAUGGACCUCCACACUUAGGUUCCUAAAUGCAAUGAAAAAUGAAUGGACCUCCACACCUGGGACUCUAAAUGCAAUGAAAAGUGAAUAGACCUCCACACAUGGGCCUUUAAAUGCAAUAAAAAGUUAAUGGACCUCCACACCUAAGCCUCUAAAUGCAAUGAUUGCUUUCCUUUCUCCCUUUCUGGAAUUCUUCUUAAAAGGUAAUCAUUUUAGGAAUCAUGUUUUUAGGUUGAAAAAGAUCAAAUCCCUAUCCACACACAAUAGAUCAUGAAAAUCAAAUUCCAUGGGAUAUCACCUUAAUAAAUUUCAAAAUGAUUUUAUGACUCGUAAAUUAAAUUCUGAAAUGACAAUUCACUUAACAAACUUGGUACAACAGAUUUCAAUUAAUCCACCCUUGAAACAUAAAUUUCUUUCAUCGAGAGCCAACUCGUUAAUUCUCGCGAAGCCAAAUUUCAUUUUCCUGACUUUGGAUUGUUCUUACUGUGAACCAUGUACCAUGAUCUUCUGUAAAAUUGUGUCUUAAAGUAGAUAUUGUUCAAUAUAGUUCCUUUCUCUUGC
Molecule: long non-coding RNA, 1141 nt
Filed under: Gossypium barbadense (sea-island cotton)
Lineage: Eukaryota; Viridiplantae; Streptophyta; Magnoliopsida; Malvales; Malvaceae
Description: long non-coding RNA (GBAR_LNC014215)
Source: RNAcentral